Camelus dromedarius (Arabian camel) is the source of this 1813-nucleotide RNA transcript. It is a transcript of the gene named lactamase beta 2, with no coding region annotated. The transcript has 10 exons. The record is from RefSeq and is a predicted model, not a curated record. NCBI's taxonomy places the organism in Eukaryota, Metazoa, Chordata, Mammalia, Artiodactyla, Camelidae.
UUCCGCCCUCCAUCCGCCUGCGCGGCAGAGACAGAGAUGGCUGCCGCACUGCAGCGGGUCGAACGGCUGUCCAGUCGGGUGGUUCGCGUCCUGGGCUGUAACCCGGGUCCCAUGACCCUGCAGGGCACCAACACCUACCUGGUGGGGACUGGCUCCAGGAGAAUCCUCAUUGACACUGGAGAACCAGCAAUUCCAGAAUAUAUCAGCUGCUUAAAGCAGGCUCUAACUGAAUUUAACACAGCAAUCCAGGAAAUCAUAGUGACCCACUGGCACCGUGAUCACACUGGAGGCAUAACUGAUAUUUGUAAAAGCAUCAAUAAUGGUCUUUCUCUGAACUCUUCCCAAUCCUCCUCACCCUACACUGAAUAUUGCAUUAAAAAACUCCCACGGAAUCCCAGGAGAGAGGAAAUUAUAGGAGAUGGAGAGCAGCAGUACAUUUAUGUGAAAGAUGGAGAUGUGAUUAAGACUGAGGGCGCCACUCUAAGAGUUAUACAUACACCUGGCCACACUGAUGAUCAUAUGGCUCUACUGUUAAAAGAGGAAAAUGCGCUCUUUUCUGGCGAUUGCAUCCUAGGAGAAGGAACAACGGUAUUUGAAGACCUCUAUGAUUAUAUGAACUCCCUAAAAGAGUUAUUAAAAGUCAAAGCUGCUGUUAUAUAUCCAGGACAUGGCCCAGUAAUCCAAGAUGCCGAAGCUAAAAUUCUACAAUACAUUUCUCACAGAAAUAUCCGAGAACAGCAAAUUCUUACAGUAUUUCAUGAGAACUUUGAAAAAUCAUUCACAGCAAUGGACCUUGUAAAAAUUAUUUACAAGAAUACUCCUGAGUAUUUACAUCAAAUGGCCCAACAUAAUGUCUUGCUUCAUUUGAAAAAAUUAGAAAAAGAAGGAAAAAUAUUUAGCAACAUGGAUCCUGACAAGAAAUGGAAAGCUCAUCUUUAGUUUCAGAUGAAUGAAAGUUUCUAUUGUUUUGUUUUCAGAGGAUGUUCCAGUCACAUCGAUGCCUGACCUUUUGAAAAACAUCUGGAAUUAAAAUGGAGAAUGGGGGAGGGGCAUGUAGCUAAUCCAUUUGAGUGGCCACCAUGCUGAACAAUUUCCAAAUGUAUGGAUGAGCUUGAAUCUUUCACUAAAGCCCCAGGUCUAAGUCUUUUGCCACCUGCAGGAACUCUUCACGAGGCUGUCUCCCAAAGUGCAGGCAUCAAUGUGAAGAAACUCAAUAUAGCUAAAACUCAACACCUCUGCUUACCCCAAAUCCUCAUCUUCCUGAUUCCUCCCCUUCCCAGCUCACCAUCUAGGUAAACAGCAUCGCUAUUCUCCCACGUCCCAAGCUGAAUUUGUCCUCGGUCACUCCUAUUUCGUUUAAUCCCCAAUCCACUUAGCAGGGCAAUAUUUAUGCUAAAGUUUGAGGAUGGAGAUGCAAUUUGAAGGCCAAAGAAAAUGCUGGUGGGCACAGGAGAUGACCAGGACUGACAAAGAGCCUAGGAAAUGAAAGUGGCUCGAUUCAUAGGGACGAAAUCUAUCAUUUGUCUUACACUGUCUCAGGGAUCUCUCUCUCUUUUCUUCCCUGGCCUAGUGCUCAUUUCCUAAAUUAAAAUAAACUACUAAUUGAUUUCCCUGCAUGUGGCCUAUUCCUAUUCCCAUUCAUCAUCGUGGUGACAGUGGUGGUAGUAACAGUUUAGUAAUAUAUUUGUCCAAUCAAUCCCUCAUCUAUAGAAAAAGAAUGAUAUACUGCCUAACUCGAGGAGUCAUUGUGAGUAUUAAAUGUUCAUCAUAUUUAGCACAGUGCUUGGCACCCAAUAAAUACCAGUUGCUAUUA